Molecule: long non-coding RNA, 1364 nt
Filed under: Ornithorhynchus anatinus (platypus)
Lineage: Eukaryota; Metazoa; Chordata; Mammalia; Monotremata; Ornithorhynchidae
Description: lncRNA (ENSOANG00000050740.1)
Source: RNAcentral
AUGCUACAAAAUUCUUUUCUCUUUUUUAGGGAUAUAAGUCAGCUAUUUAAAGCUGCAAGGAUGAAUGAUUUUUUCACUAUGCAAGCACUACUGCAAAAAGGAGAUAUUGAUUCUUUUGUGAGAGGGGGAUGUGGAGAAACUAUUCUACAUGCAGCCUUACUUAGUGGCAGUAAAGAAGUUGUUGAAGUUAUUUUGGAUGAGGUGCCCUCUUUGAUUAAUGAGCCAGUGACAUCCAACACAUAUAGAGGUAUAGUAUCAAAAUCCUUUAAAAGAUGUUUAAUUUUUCAUAUUUUAAUACCAUUUUAAUAUCUUACCCUACUUCCUCUCUCUUCUACGGCACUCCACAAGGUAAACUUGAAUUUGUAUCUUUUAUUCACCCCACCCUCAGCCCCAUGGCACCUUUGUUUGGACUGUGAGCCUGUUGGGCAGAGAUUGUCUCUAUCUGUUGCCGAAUGGUACAUUCCAAGCGCUUAGUAUAGUGGUCUCCACAUAGUAAGCGCUCAAUAAAUGCGAUUGAAUGAAUGAGUGACUAUCUGUAACUUAUUUUAGUGUCUGUUUCCCCCUCUGGGCUGAAAGCUCCUUGUGGGCAGAGAACAUGUCUGUCUUCCCACUCUGUUUUAUUGUGCUCUCCCAAGCACUUAGUACACAGCUCUACACACAGUAAGUGCUCAAUAAAUAUGAUGGAUUACUCAUGAAAUUCAGAUUCCCUGUUUUGAUUAUUGCAGAUAGAAGGGAAAGUGGAGUGUUUAAAAUUAAUAAACAUGUAGAUAAGUGGCAGAGCCUCCACCUUCUAGACUGUGAGCCCAUUGUUGGGCAGGGAUUGUCUCUAUUUGUUGCUGAAUUGUAUUUUCCUAAUGCUUAGUACAGAGCUCUGCACAUUGUAAGUGCUCAAUAAAUAUGAUUGAAUGAAUGAAUGUUAGUUUUAAUCAUGGUAUUUAGUAAGUGCUUACUACUUGCUAAGCCCUGUGCUAAAUGAUGGGGAGUAGAUAGAGCGUCAUCAGAUAGGACACAGUUCUUGCCCCACAUAACUAAUAAUUAUGGUAUUUGUUAAAUGCUUACUAUGUGCCAGACACUCAGACCUGAUGGUUGCUAUCUUCCAAAAUACUUCCAGUCCAGAUUGAGCCUCCUGAUUGGACCAAUACUCCCUGUGGAUUCUGAGGCCUUGUGGAUUACAGGAGGAGCAUUCAAAGGCUUAGAAGACCUAGCAGAUACUAGUCUGGUUUGAAUUCCAGAAGCUGAGGCAAAAGUCCAAGGAUUGCCUCUCUGCCCCCUUCUUCACCUCCCCUCAGCUAAGCCCCCUUUCCCCCCUUUGCCUCUUCUCCUCCCCCUCUCCCUUCCCCUCCCCUCAGCACUGUGCUCAUUUG